ACGCUCGACACCUACGGGAGGCAGCAGUGGGGAAUAUUGCACAAUGGGGGAAACCCUGAUGCAGCGACGCCGCGUGGAGGAAGAAGGUCUUCGGAUUGUAAACUCCUGUUGUUGGGGAAAAAGAGGAUGGUACCCAACAAGGAAGUGACGGCUAACUACGUGCCGGUAGCCGCGGUAAUCUGAGCGGGCUGGCAAGGC
RNAcentral lists this ribosomal RNA (198 nucleotides) under uncultured bacterium. RNAcentral describes it as "partial 16S ribosomal RNA". It matches the Rfam family "Bacterial small subunit ribosomal RNA", at positions 328 to 539 of the family's 1533-position model. The record is from RNAcentral.